UCAGACGAUGCGUCAUGCAUAUCAAUAAGCGGAGGAAAAGAAACUAACAAGGAUUCCCUUAGUAACGGCGAGUGAAGCGGGAAGAGCUCAAAUUUGAAAUCUUCAAGGUUUUACCUUGACGAAUUGUAGUUUAAAGAAGUGUUUUCUGCUGAAGUUUUGGUAAAAGUUCUUUGGAAUAGGACAUCAUAGAGGGUGAGAAUCCCGUAUUUGACCAUUAUUUUCAGCUUUGUGAUACACUUUCAAAGAGUCGGAUUGUUUGGGAAUGCAGUCCAAAAUGGGUGGUAAAUUUCAUCUAAAGCUAAAUAUUGGCGAGAGACCGAUAGCGAACAAGUACCGUGAGGGAAAGAUGAAAAGAACUUUGAAAAGAGAGUUAAACAGUACGUGAAAUUGUCAAAAGGGAAGCGUUUGACACCAGUGUUGUUUUCUCGAAAAUCAAUUAAAAAUGGCUCGAUUUUGUAUUGCUGAGACCUUAAAAGCUCACUGUACAUUUUUCGUGUCUUUUUUAAUGCACUUUUCGUUUAACAAGUUAACAUCAGUUUCUUUUGUUGUAAAAGGGUCAUUGGAAGGUGGCUUUCUUUUCGGAGAAAGUGUUUAUAGCCUUUGGCCUCUGCAAUCGAAGAGACUGAGGUCUGCAGCGUAGACUCUUCGGGGUUAGAUACAUUUGUGCUAAGUUAUAGCUUUUUAUAGACAACUUGUUGACUAUAAUUAGUCUUGUAGCUUACUCGCUUAUGCUAUUUUACCUACGCUUAGGAUGUUGACGAUCAGCUGAGCGCG
This 774-nucleotide ribosomal RNA is filed under the name uncultured Neocallimastigales. RNAcentral describes it as "partial large subunit ribosomal RNA". It matches the Rfam family "Eukaryotic large subunit ribosomal RNA", at positions 18 to 625 of the family's 3401-position model. The record is from RNAcentral. Lineage: Eukaryota; Fungi; Neocallimastigomycota; Neocallimastigomycetes; Neocallimastigales.